UAUCCCAUUGAGGCUCCAGAGCUCAGGGCAUCUCACGGGCCUCCUCUAGAAUUAACUAGAGCCAUAAAUCAAAACGACGUUUGAGAAAUUUCCAGCUGCCUCAGACAGCAGGCAGCGGCUCCAGCCCAGACAGGGGAAAUGGCAUUUAGAUGGGGGAAAUGGCAUUUAGAAUGGAGAGGCAAGAGCACUGGCGGGGAGCAGCCUCCAGACCAGCUCAGACGGGGGUGAGGGCCAAGGACAUUGCUUCAGAGGGCUCUGUGCCGAGGGAGCCGCAGGCAUAUCCUCUCCGCCUCUGGUGCAUCCAGUACAGGCAGCAUCUUAACUCCUGGCACGUGCUGAGAGCCCUCCACGGUUGGCAAAGAGCUUUCCCACCUGUUGUCUCAUCUGAUUUCAAAACAGCGCAGGGAGGCAGGCGCUACGAAUGAAUACAAGAAGCUCAAUGGUGAGGCUCCGGGCAUCUGCAGGGGGCAGGGGAAGUCAUGACUUGUGGCAGCCCGAGAAUGGACGAAUGUGGCAGGACUCAGGGACCAGACAGUGAGAUGAGCUGAGGCACAGUGGCAAGAGGGGACCAGGUAGGCUAUGUUAAGAUUCUGGGUCGGGGGAAGGAAGGAGGGUAAGAGGAGCUGAUGUUGAAGACCAGUUAUGUGCUAAAUCCAGAGCCAAGUGGCAGCGGUGAACCCUCAAAUCCCACAAGAACCUAAGGAGGUAAGUAGUUUGUUUUUUGGGGGUUUUGGGUUUAUUUUAUUUUAUUUUAUUUUUGGAGAUGGAGUCUCGCUCUGUCACCCAGGCUAGAGUGCAGUGGUGCGAUAUCGGCUCACUGCAACCUCCACCUCCUGGAUUCAAGCGAUUCUCCUGCCUCAUCCUCCCAAAUAGCUGGGAUUACAGGUGUGCCACCACCAUGCCCAGCUAAUUUUUGUAUUUUUGGUAGAGACGAGGUUUCACCAAGUUGGCCAGGCUGGUCUCAAACCCCUGACCUCAGGUGAUCCUCCUGCCUCAGGCUCCCAAAUUGUUGGGAUUACAGGCAUGAGCCACCGCGCCCAGCCAGAGGUAAGUAGUUUUUUAAGCCCCACUUUACAGAUGAGCAAACUGAGGUUAACUGACCUGGUCAAGGUCACACAGCCAGCAAGUGUCAGAGCCAAGAAUUGAACCUAGAUUCAUCUGGCUUCAAAUUCUGUGCUGUUCUUCUCCACUAUCAGAUCUGCUAAACAUAAGAACUAAAUUUGACUGGGCACUUGGCAGUGCACCCAGCAGUGCCCUAAGGGCCGUACCUUCAUUAUCUCCUGUAGUCUGUCCAAUAACCCCAAGAGGUGGGUUCUCCUACUCUUUCCAUUUCACACAUGAAGAAAUUGAGGCCUCCAACCCUCAGCUCUAAGGAGCAGUGCUAGGGCUUGCAGCCAGGCAGGAUGACCGCAGAACCUCUCUUUACCCACCACUCACUCAGGUCCCCUGUGCUUGGAGCCCUGAGCUAGCAGCUACGUGUGAAAAGCUUGGCAGCUGUGCUUUCCAGAGACGUGAUGAUGCCCCUGAAUGAAUUGCUGCAGCUGGGUUCACAUGGCUCCCGGGGCCACCACCACCACUGGCCAGAAGGAAUCUUUGUGGAUUUAGGGUAGCUCAUUUCUGCCCCAGAGCCCCUGAAAGUGGACCUAAGAAUGGAUACUUGGGGCAAUAGCCUUCCAGGCAGAGUGAGCCUCCAGGACAAAGACCUUGUGGCCGGAGCGACCCAGGGAGGCCUCUCAGCUGGAGCCAGGUGACCGUGCUGGGCUCCUGGGAGCGGGCUCUGAGAGCUGCCACCCUGAGUGACGAUAUCAGAACCCCCAUGGAGAAGCAAACAAUUCAGGGGCUUCCAGGCAAGAGAGAGGAAGAUCAUUCUCACAUCGCCUGUCAUCUGUCUCUGUCAGGGGAAGGGGCAGGUCUAAAGCCCUGAGCAGAAGUGGGGGUAGGCCCCAUACCUUGGACUCGGGACCAGAAAGAAAGUCUGUUUUUUCAUGGCUUCUGUCAGUGGAGCCCAGGGUCACCUCCCCCCCACACCCCAAAAGUGGCUUUGAGAGGCUGCUGACAGGCUGCGUGACACAGUUUGGCAGGUCUCUUAGCAAAGUGCACAUGUCACUAGCAUGCCAGGUGCUGGAAGGGAGGAACAGGCACCCAGCCCAGCUCUCCUCCCUCACCUCAGGGUUCUCUGGCUAGAAGCUGCACCAGCAGAGGGGAUAGAGUGGCUAGAACACAGUUACUGCGUAGUGCCGGUCACCCUGGGUCUGGAUGCUGCGAUGGUCCCAUUUAAUAGCUCAAACUACCGCAGGAAGGGUCUCCAGAGGUCCUGGGAGGUGCUGGUGGAGCAGAGAGGUGGUAGCAGGCAGGGGGUCCUCCCCACAGCCUCUCAGGAGACUGGGAGGCAGCUCUGGUUCCCUCUCCCAGCCCUAGGGCUCAGAAGGAGUGGGGUAAAGGAAGUGUCUGCAGCCAGAAUCCCGCCCAUGAGGACAAACUUCUAUGUAAUCUAGGGCACAACUGGAAGGGGCUGAUUUUACCUGGAAAGCAGGAGAAACUUAACGCCUGACACAAAUAUAGAAUUUACAUAUUUCCCAGCUAAUAGCUGCUUGUAGCUUAUGCUAAUUUGGCAUCAAUUCUCUCUUUGUUAUGAUUAAAGACCAUAACACGGAGAGCAUUAGCAGUGAGCCUAAUGAGGAACUGCAGGAUAGCAUGACGGCCAGGGUUCUAUGAGAGCUGCAGGGCAGAGUGAUGACCUCACAGAUGAGAAGGCUGAGUCUGAGGCUAAGGCUGAGAGUCGCAAAAUGUCUGGCCCAGGGUGGGUCAGGGCAGAGCUGGGACCGGAGCUCACACUCCCUACUCUCAUUUUCCCUCCUUUCUGCACUGCCGCGGCUCAAGUCCUGGCCUUCAACACAGCACCCACUCAUGCAGCCCCCAACCCGGCCCUGACCCCAGUUCUUAACCAAGCAGCUCUCAGAACAUAUAUCCCAACCCUGGCUGAAAGCUUCCUUCAGGUCUUGAAUUUGACAGGAAUUUGACCAGGAGGUUCUACCCCAAUUCCGGCUGAAUUUCAGUCCCUAAACCAAACCCUGACACCAAUCUCCCCAGCCCACACCAGUCCCAGCUCUGGCCCUGGGCGCGGGAGUGUCCAGCACCUAACCCUCAGCAAAGCCCUCCCUAGGAUGAGGUCUGGGUCCACCACCCCUUCUCCCCAGGGCAGGGUCUGAGGGAUUAGGUGACAUAUCUAAGGUCACACAGGAAUAAGUAGCAGAGUUGGCUGUGGAGCUCAGGUCCCUGUGGCUCUGGAGUCUCCAGGUGGCGGUGGGCAGCAGGAGGCCUGGAAGGUGCCGGGGGAUGGUGGCCCCUCCACAGGCACUCCUCUGACAGCACAUGGCCUCACAGGAGCCCCACAGCGUCUCGAGAGGUGGGCAGCUCAGAGAUCGUUCACCUCCAUUUUGCAGAUUAGAAGACUGAGGCCCAAGGGGAAAGGCUAAGGUCAGUGGCAGAGCAGAGCAAAAGACCAAGUCCCCUGACAGUCCACCCAAGGCUCUCCCAUGGCACCACACUGCCUCCUUCCCACCCUGUAGGGGCUGAGCAGGCAAGUCAGGUAUGGAGGAAAAAAUAACGCAGGAAACUGCAAGAUCACAGACUCAUUUCCAAUCCUCAUUCCUGGAGAAGUGCCCCAGAAUGGCAAUGCCAGCUCAGCUGCCUUUAAUCGGGAGGCUGCCUGGGCUCCAGAGCAGCCAAUCCAGAGUCCCUGCUUGCCAACAGUGGGGUAUUGAUCAAACGGGUUACCUCCCUGCACUCCCGCUUCCCUGCCUAUAAGAUGGGACCAUGUGGCUCCCCAAGAUGUUGCUGAGUGUUGAGAUCUGAUGAUGGAUGCACAGCCCCAGCUCCGCACCUGGCUUGUUGUAGGAGCUCCCUGACUUUAGUUCCCUCCACCAUCUACACCACCCCGUGUCUGGGAAGGGUCACCCUUGGGCAACACCUCUAGAGCCAGCUGACCUCCCAGUACCAUCUACUCAGUUCUGGAACUUGGGCUGAGGAGGUGCCUUGUUCAUGCAAAUAGUGGUGGGGUGUGAAGAUUGACACCCUGAGUCCCUAGGAGCAACCUGGAAGACCAGCUGAGAGUAAUUAGCCCUGUCCACCUGCCCACCUCUGGAACACUCUGGUGGGACACGCAGGUGUAUCUGGCAAGGCCCUGGGGCCUGUGUGGAAACAUCCAAAGCUUGGAGUAGCCUUGAAGGCUGAAGAAUGAAGAGUGACCCCGGGGCACAGGACCCGGCAGGGGGGCCAAAGAAGGGGCCCCUGGGGUGAUGGAGACAGUGCUCAGGCCCCAGAAGGAGGAGCAGUAGCAGUCGAGGUUCCCUGGGUAGGCAGAGGGGAUCCCACCAGGGAAAGACAAACGGCCAGAUGGCAGAGGGAAGGCACCGGCUGCGGCCUCCACUGGGAACAUUCAUUAAGCCUUCAAUUAGAGCAGGCCUGCCCCUGUCAGCUCCAAAGGGCACCCAGGGCUCCAGUUGCCCUGCCCAAACCAGGAGUUAAUAACUCACCCUGUAAUGGACUCAACAGAGAAACAGCCAGGAGCACCCACUCAUCCAUCUGCCUGCCUACCAGGGCUCUGGACAGGAGGGAGAGCUGGGGACACCUCUUUGGAUCCCUUUAUCCCCCAGAAGCCACAUCACAGGCCAGCUGGAGAUGGGAAAGCACAGCAGUCCCUCUUGUCCCUCGGGACUGGAGUGUUCAUGUACUAUUCCCAGAAAAGAAGGAAGCAGAAUCUCUGCAUCUCAGGGCAGGGAGGCUCCAGGAAGCUUUAUUUACUGUCCUGGAUGAUUUACUGUGUGUGGUGCUGGGGACAGAGAUGGGUAAGACCCCAGCUCUGCCCUCCAGGAGUCCACGUUCAGCUUAGGCAGGGCUGGCCAGGGCAGGAAGUAGGAGGGAGAAAAUAGACAUGAAUCUGACCAUAACCAUAGGCUUCUAUGGCCAGUACUGUCAACAACAGCAGCACCUUCCAAGAGGUAUGAGAGGAGAGUCUCAGCUCGGGGUUAAGGGAGAGCCAUGCAGAGGUGGCCAGUAAACUGAGAGGUCAGGGUCAUAUAGUCCCACUCCUUGUUUUACAAGUGGACAACCUGAGGCCCAGAGAGGGCAGGUGACUGGCACAAGGCCACACAGCUAUUCAGGGUCAGAGCCAGAAUUAGAACCCUGUCAAGAGUGAGCCUCUCCAUGCUAAAGCAGGCAAACUGAGGCCUGGAAAGUCACUUAAUUAGGACAUUGAAUGGAACCCUCUGUCACCCACCCUGUCCUGAGAAAGAUUGGCCCUCCAAGGGUCAUUUCACAUGACAAGCAUUGCCUGAGGGUACACAUGCGGUCUGUUCUACUGAGAGCACUCCGGAGAGCAGUGGCUCCCCCAGCCUCCCCUGGGUGCCUGGCUCCUCCUGUCCCUUUCAGCCUGCCCCUUCGGCCUCCCCAUCUCCUACUCAGGACCCUCAACCAUUCCCCCAGCACCUCAGGCCAAGGCCAACUGGGUGGGCUGCCAAGAAUGGUCAAGCUCCAACCUUCCCAGAACUGGCCAGGGCUAGGACUUUUUUUUUUUUUUUGAAAGGGAGUCUCGCUCUGUCGCCCAGGCUGGAGUGCAGUGGCACAAUCUCGGCUCACUGCAACCCCCUCCUCACGGGUUCAAAUGAUUCUUCUACCUCAGCCUCUCAAGUAGCUGAGCUAAUUUUUUGUAUUUUUAGUAGAGAUGAAGUUUUGCCACGUUGGCCGGGCUGGUCUCAAACUCCUGACCUCAGGUGAUCCACCUGCCUCAGUCUCCCAAAGUGCUGGGAUUACAGGCGUGAGCCACCGCGCCCGGCCCAGGGCCAGGCUUUUAAAGCGUGAUUGUGACUCAGCCUGCACCAGAAUCACCCAGGGAACUUGUUAAAAUGCAGAUUCCUAGGUACUGCCCAGGACCUGGUGAUUCAGAGUCUCUGGGAGUGGAUCAUAGGAAUCUGCAUUUUAGAAUAAACUCCCUGGUUUUUUUUUUCCCCAAAAAAUGAUAUUAGUGGGUACAUAAAUGUAGAAAAGUGUAGAAGUAAUAGGUGAAUUUCUCCAUGCGUUUUCACAAACUCCACAUCUGCUUAAUGUCUACCCAGGUAGAGAAAUAGAAUAUUUACAGGCCCUCACAAACCCCUCAUGUCCCUUCCAGUUACUAAGCUGUCCAAACAAGGCCAGUAUCCUGACUCCUGACAGCUCAGUUCUGUUUUGUCUGCAUUUGAAUUUCACGUGUAUAGAAUUAUACAGACACCUCUGUCUGGCUCUUUUUUACUUGACAUUAUUUGUGAGACUCAUUCAUACCAUUAUAUGCAGUUGUGGUUUGUUUAUUCUCAAUGCUGAGUAGCAUUCCAGCCUAUGAUUGUACCACAAUUUGUAUGCAUUCUGCUGUUGAUGGGCAUUGGGUUGUUUCCAGCUUUGGGAUAUCAAAAGAGGGCUGCCAUGAAAAUUCGAUGACAUGUAUCUCUGUGGACAUUUGUAUACAUUUCUGAUGGAGAUAUGUCGAUCAGCAGAAUUGUGGCAUCACAGAUAGGGUUUGCUUGUGUUCAGGUUUAACAAAUACAGCUGAACAAUUUUCCAAAGUGGCUGUACCAAUUUAGACACCCACCUGCAGUGUCUGAGAGUUCCAGUUGAUGCACAUCCUCGUCAGCACUGGGCGCAUCUCUCUUUUCAUCCCAGCCAUGCUUGUGGGUGUGGAGUGAUACCAUUUUAUGCUUCAACUUGCAUUUCCCUGAUGACUAAUGAUGUUGAGCUCAUUUUCUUAUGUUUAUUGGCCAUUUGGGCAUCCUCUUUUGUGAAGUGCCUCUUCAGAUCUUUUGCCAACGUUUUAAUCAGAUUGUCUUUUUCUUACUGAUUUAUAGGAGUUCUUUAUAUAUUCUGGGUUCUUAUCCUUUCCUGGCUAUGUGUAUUGCAAAUAUCUUCUUCAACUUGCUGUCUUGCCUUUUUACUCUUAAUGAUGUAUUUUGAUAAACAAAUAUUUUAUUUUAAUAUAGUCCAAAUAAUUUUUUCCCUUUU
Pan troglodytes (chimpanzee) is the source of this 7026-nucleotide long non-coding RNA. RefSeq lists it as uncharacterized. NCBI's taxonomy places the organism in Eukaryota, Metazoa, Chordata, Mammalia, Primates, Hominidae. The transcript is spliced from 2 exons. The record is from RefSeq and is a predicted model, not a curated record.